GAUGAAGAACGUAGCGAAAUGCGAUAAGUAAUGUGAAUUGCAGAAUUCAGUGAAUCAUCGAAUCUUUGAACACACAUUGCGCCCGCCAGUAUUCUGGCGGGCAUGCCUGUUCGAGCGUCAUUUCAACCAUCAAGCCCCAGGCUUGUGUUGGGGACCUGCGGCUGCCGCAGGCCCUGAAAACCAGUGGCGGGCUCGCUGUCACACCGGGCGUAGUAGAUUUUAUCUCGCUCAGGGCGUGCUGCGGGUUCCGGCCGUUAAAAAGCCUUUUUUACCCAAGGUUGACCUCGGAUCAGGUAGGAAGACCCGCUGAACUUAAGCAUAUCAAUAAGCGGAGGA
Molecule: unclassified non-coding RNA, 336 nt
Filed under: soil metagenome
Description: partial contains 5.8S ribosomal RNA, internal transcribed spacer 2, and large subunit ribosomal RNA
Rfam family: 5.8S ribosomal RNA (bases 1-120)
Source: RNAcentral